Molecule: ribosomal RNA, 1378 nt
Filed under: Clostridium sp. FL2
Lineage: Bacteria; Bacillati; Bacillota; Clostridia; Eubacteriales; Clostridiaceae
Description: 16S ribosomal RNA
Rfam family: Bacterial small subunit ribosomal RNA
Source: RNAcentral
GCCUAACACAUGCAAGUCGAGCGAUCUCUUCGGAGAGAGCGGCGGACGGGUGAGUAACGCGUGGGUAACCUGCCCUGUACACACGGAUAACAUACCGAAAGGUAUACUAAUACGGGAUAACAUACGAAAGUCGCAUGGCUUUUGUAUCAAAGCUCCGGCGGUACAGGAUGGACCCGCGUCUGAUUAGCUAGUUGGUAAGGUAAUGGCUUACCAAGGCAACGAUCAGUAGCCGACCUGAGAGGGUGAUCGGCCACACUGGAACUGAGACACGGUCCAGACUCCUACGGGAGGCAGCAGUGGGGAAUAUUGCACAAUGGGCGAAAGCCUGAUGCAGCAACGCCGCGUGAGCCGAUGAAGGCCUUYGGGUCGUAAAGCUCUGUCCUCAAGGGAAGAUAAUGACGGUACUUGAGGAGGAAGCCCCGGCUAACUACGUGCCAGCAGCCGCGGUAAUACGUAGGGGGCUAGCGUUAUCCGGAAUUACUGGGCGUAAAGGGUGCGUAGGUGGUUUUUUAAGUCAGAAGUGAAAGGCUACGGCUCAACCGUAGUAAGCUUUUGAAACUAGAGAACUUGAGUGCAGGAGAGGAGAGUAGAAUUCCUAGUGUAGCGGUGAAAUGCGUAGAUAUUAGGAGGAAUACCAGUAGCGAAGGCGGCUUCUCUGGACUGUAACUGACACUGAGGCACGAAAGCGUGGGGAGCAAACAGGAUUAGAUACCCCUGGUAGUCCACGCCGUAAACGAUGAGUACUAGGUGUCGGGGGUUACCCCCCUCGGUGCCGCAGCUAACGCAUUAAGUACUCCGCCUGGGAAGUACGCUCGCAAGAGUGAAACUCAAAGGAAUUGACGGGGACCCGCACAAGUAGCGGAGCAUGUGGUUUAAUUCGAAGCAACGCGAAGAACCUUACCUAAGCUUGACAUCCCACUGACCUCUCCCUAAUCGGAGAUUUCCCUUCGGGGACAGUGGUGACAGGUGGUGCAUGGUUGUCGUCAGCUCGUGUCGUGAGAUGUUGGGUUAAGUCCCGCAACGAGCGCAACCCUUGCCUUUAGUUGCCAGCAUUAAGUUGGGCACUCUAGAGGGACUGCCGAGGAUAACUCGGAGGAAGGUGGGGAUGACGUCAAAUCAUCAUGCCCCUUAUGCUUAGGGCUACACACGUGCUACAAUGGGUGGUACAGAGGGUUGCCAAGCCGCGAGGUGGAGCUAAUCCCUUAAAGCCAUUCUCAGUUCGGAUUGUAGGCUGAAACUCGCCUACAUGAAGCUGGAGUUACUAGUAAUCGCAGAUCAGAAUGCUGCGGUGAAUGCGUUCCCGGGUCUUGUACACACAGCCCGUCACACCAUGGAAGUUGGGGGCGCCCGAAGCCGGUUAGCUAACCUUUUAGGAAGC